Cervus elaphus (red deer) is the source of this 73-nucleotide non-coding RNA. The record is from the annotation of a RefSeq genome assembly. Lineage: Eukaryota; Metazoa; Chordata; Mammalia; Artiodactyla; Cervidae.
UCCCUGGUGGUCCAGUAGGUAAGACUCUGCACUUCCACUGUAGGGGGCACAGGUUCGAUCCCUGUUGGGGGAA